Molecule: long non-coding RNA, 837 nt
Filed under: Homo sapiens (human)
Lineage: Eukaryota; Metazoa; Chordata; Mammalia; Primates; Hominidae
Description: HSALNT0063403
Source: RNAcentral
UCCACAGAUGCAGAACUCAUAGACAUCGAGGGCCAUCUGUAUUUGUUAUCAGUGAUAAAAGUUGAGCUUUCAACCAAACAUUAGAAUUUUGGAAAACAUGCACCUACCACCAAAAUCUUGACAGAUUCCCAGUACUUAGCCUUUGUUGAUGAAAUUGAUGAGGAGUUAGAAGUUACUUCUUUGUGCUGAUGUGGUGAUGCAUGGGAUGUUACAGAGCCAGCCACAGAAAUAAUUGACAGCUGGACCCAGCUCCUGUUUAUAAGGUUUAAGUCUACUACCCAUCUGAUAUGGUUAGGCUUUGUGUUGCUGUCCAAAUCUUAUCUUGAAUUGUAAUUCUCAUAAUCCUCGUAAUCUCCACGUAUCAAGGGAGUGACCACGUGGAGGUAAGUAAAUCAUGGGGGGGCAGUUUCACCUAUACUGUUCUUGUGAUCAUGAGUGAAUCUCAUGAGAUCUGACGGUUUUGUAAGGGACUCUUCCUUCUUUGCUCAGCAUUUCUCUUUCCUGGCACCUUGUGAAGAAUGUGCCUUGCAUCCCCUUAGCCUUCUGCAAUGACUGUAAGUUUCCUGAGGCUGCCCCAGCCAUGCUGAACUGUGAGUCAAUUAACCUUUUCCCUUUAUAAAUUACCCAGUCUCUGGCAGUUCUAUAUAGCAGCGUGAAAAUGGACGAAUACACAAUCUGAAAUUAGUUUUUAAUUUGAGGUGUGGUAAGGGUUGUUUCAUUUUUUUCUCCUGUUUAUUCCAAAUUAAAUGUGUAUCUACAUUGAACUGUUUUGAUAAUUUGGUUGAAAAUAAGAUAACUACAUAUGUGUAUACCCGUUUCUAUCAGCUUUCCCAUUUU